RNAcentral lists this ribosomal RNA (373 nucleotides) under uncultured bacterium. RNAcentral's name for it is "bacterial SSU rRNA". It matches the Rfam family "Bacterial small subunit ribosomal RNA", at positions 525 to 896 of the family's 1533-position model. The record is from RNAcentral.
ACGUAGGGUGCGAGCGUUAAUCGGAAUUACUGGGCGUAAAGCGUGCGCAGGCGGUUUUGUAAGUCGGAUGUGAAAUCCCCGGGCUCAACCUGGGAACUGCGUUCGAAACUGCAAGGCUAGAGUGUGUCAGAGGGGGGUAGAAUUCCACGUGUAGCAGUGAAAUGCGUAGAGAUGUGGAGGAAUACCAAUGGCGAAGGCAGCCCCCUGGGAUAACACUGACGCUCAUGCACGAAAGCGUGGGGAGCAAACAGGAUUAGAUACCCUGGUAGUCCACGCCCUAAACGAUGUCAACUAGUUGUUGGUAGAGUAAAAUCUAUGAGUAACGUAGCUAACGCGUGAAGUUGACCGCCUGGGGAGUACGGUCGCAAGAUUA